GGCGUGCAAAUAUCAAGGAUUCAAAUUUCAAAUAUGAAAUUAUUACUCCCAUAAUGAGCACAAACCAUAUGGGGAUUCAAAUCAAGCAUAUAUUACCAUCCUAAACCUCAAGCAAUCCGUAUAGGAUUCCAAUGCACCAUACGAUUUAUUUCCAUAAUGGGAACAAGCCGUGUGAGAAUUCAAAAACAAGAAGUUAUGAUGAGGUUCUUUCCUUUCCUGGAAAUUCAAUGAACCUAGACCAACCUUGGGCGUGUGCAUCAUCUUGGCCAAGCCAAAUCAAAGGGAGGGCCAUCAACACAUGUGAAACACAACUUUAAGAUCAUUGGCGUAGCGCCUUGCCUUAGUUCUUAUCAAGGAUCUUCCUUGUGGCGAACCUCUUUAACUUAUCAAGUUACUUUUCUUGUGGCACCAAAAUCUUCAUCUUUUUCCACGUUCUUUUAUCCAACAUAAACACAUAAAAAUUCAUAAACACAAAAUAAGCCCCAAUUGAGCCCAAACACUAAAUCCACACACA
This 514-nucleotide long non-coding RNA is filed under the name Lupinus angustifolius (narrow-leaved blue lupine). Its description in RNAcentral is "long non-coding RNA (LANG_LNC000497)". Lineage: Eukaryota; Viridiplantae; Streptophyta; Magnoliopsida; Fabales; Fabaceae. The record is from RNAcentral.